CGCCUACGGGGGGCAGCAGCCGCGGUAAUACAGAGGUCUCAAGCGUUGUUCGGAAUCACUGGGCGUAAAGCGUGCAUAGGCUGUUUCGUAAGUCGUGUGUGAAAGGCGCGGGCUCAACCCGCGGACGGCACAUGAUACUGCGAGACUAGAGUAAUGGAGGGGGAACCGGAAUUCUCGGUGUAGCAGUGAAAUGCGUAGAUAUCGAGAGGAACACUCGUGGCGAAGGCGGGUUCCUGGACAUUAACUGACGCUGAGGCACGAAGGCCAGGGGAGCGAAAGGGAUUAGAAACCCCAGUAGUCCAGAU
RNAcentral lists this ribosomal RNA (305 nucleotides) under uncultured bacterium. Its description in RNAcentral is "bacterial SSU rRNA". It matches the Rfam family "Bacterial small subunit ribosomal RNA", at positions 495 to 800 of the family's 1533-position model. The record is from RNAcentral.